This 440-nucleotide ribosomal RNA is filed under the name uncultured bacterium. RNAcentral describes it as "partial 16S ribosomal RNA". It matches the Rfam family "Bacterial small subunit ribosomal RNA", at positions 338 to 795 of the family's 1533-position model. The record is from RNAcentral.
CCUACGGGUGGCAGCAGUGGGGGAUAUUGCACAAUGGGGGAAACCCUGAUGCAGCGACGCCGCGUGGGUGAAGAAGCGCCUCGGCGCGUAAAGCCCUGUCAGCCGGGAAGAAAAUGACGGUACCUGAAGAAGAAGCCCCGGCUAACUACGUGCCAGCAGCCGCGGUAAUACGUAGGGGGCAAGCGUUAUCCGGAUUUACUGGGUGUAAAGGGGGCGCAGACGGGGCUGCAAGCCAGGAGGGAAAGCCCGGGGCCCAACCCCGGGACUGCUCUUGGAACUGCGGGGCUAGAGUGCAGGAGGGGCAGGCGGAAUUCCUGGUGUAGCGGUGAAAUGCGUAGAUAUCGGGAGGAACACCGGUGGCGAAGGCGGCCUGCUGGACUGCAACUGACGUUGAGGCCCGAAAGCGUGGGGAGCAAACAGGAUUAGAUACCCUAGUAGUC